AGUUACGAAUGAAGACAAUGCCUAUCACUCUCUACAAACUUCUCGUUGGUCUAGAGGUACCACAAUAUUUAUAAAACAACAGCGCAAGUAAGAGAGGUUUAUAUUUCAAAUUUUUAAUACGCGAUUGAAUGUUGCUAUUAAUCUCAAAAUGUUGAAAACCAAAAUGGGAACACACAACAGUUGUUGGAACAAGUUUGUUGACGCGUGAAUCUUGUAACGAGCUGGGAACAAGUAGUGGAAACAUGACCAGACUUUUUAGAACAGCCUUGCAGCGAGCGCUUUUUUCUCGUUAACCUUGUAGCAAGUUGUGAUAAAGCAACUUUUGCAAGCCGAAACGAGAUGAAUUGACUCUGAACAAACAAAUAUAAGAAUAGAUUGAAUUAUACGAGAUUUUAUCGUCUUAGCAUUUUUACCGUGGGCAGGAUACAUCCCGAUUCAACAUGAAAUAUGUUAGCUGGAUCAUAGGGCGCCAUUUUUUGGUAUGUGUAAUAUUUGAGAUAUUCUAGGAAGAAAUUGAUUGCCUCGUCCCCAGUCGCUUUGUGUGGAUUGGAGGGAGCAUCGAUGCUACUGAUUUAUAUAUGCCGCUUGUGUGUGCUAAACAUAAGAGCCUGGGGAGGAGGCAGGAAAGUGUGAUAUAUCUUUAUAUUAAAAAACCUUAAUUAAAUUUCUCACUAUAAUAAGUGUAGUUUCCGGAAUUAGAUGAAUUCACAAUAUCGGACGACUUCCGAUGAGGUGUUUACUGUCAAGAUAUAUUGCACUUCUUCUUAGAAUGAUAGAAAUAUGACGCCAAAAUUCAUAUUGCGGGUUAAUAGUUACACUGAAUAAUCAGAUUCGAAAUGAUAUUAUUAUGACUUGAAGGCAAGUAACGCUGUGAUCAAAUAGUUUUGAGAGAUCUCAAAUUGGUAUAUAGUGAUAUUUAUAUAGAGCGUAGAAGUUGUUGUAAACAAUUAUGGACAUUCCUCUGUCCUGUAUAUGAUUAAAAAUACCUUCCCAAGUAUA
Paramuricea clavata is the source of this 999-nucleotide non-coding RNA. Lineage: Eukaryota; Metazoa; Cnidaria; Anthozoa; Malacalcyonacea; Plexauridae. The record is from the annotation of a GenBank genome assembly.